GACGAACGCUGGCGGCGUGCUUAACACAUGCAAGUCGAACGUGAUUUUUGUGGAAGUUCCUUCGGGAAUGGAAGUAAAAUGAAAGUGGCGAACGGGUGAGUAACACGUGAGCAACCUACCUUACACAGGGGGAUAGCCGUUGGAAACGACGAUUAAUACCGCAUGAGACCACAGUACCACAUGGUAUAGGGGUAAAAGAUUUAUCGGUGUAAGAUGGGCUCGCGUCUGAUUAGCUAGUUGGAAGGGUAAAGGCCUACCAAGGCAACGAUCAGUAGCCGGUCUGAGAGGAUGAACGGCCACAUUGGAACUGAGACACGGUCCAAACUCCUACGGGAGGCAGCAGUGGGGAAUAUUGCACAAUGGGGGGAACCCUGAUGCAGCGACGCCGCGUGAGCGAAGAAGGUUUUCGAAUCGUAAAGCUCUGUCCUAUGAGAAGAUAAUGACGGUAUCAUAGGAGGAAGCCCCGGCUAAAUACGUGCCAGCAGCCGCGGUAAUACGUAUGGGGGCGAGCGUUGUCCGGAAUUAUUGGGCGUAAAGGGUACGUAGGCGGCCUAUUAAGUCAGGGUGUGAAAGCGUGAGGCUUAACCUCAUUAAGCACUUGAAACUGGAAGGCUUGAGUGAAGGAGAGGAAAGUGGAAUUCCUAGUGUAGCGGUGAAAUGCGUAGAUAUUAGGAGGAAUACCGGUGGCGAAGGCGACUUUCUGGACUUUUACUGACGCUCAGGUACGAAAGCGUGGGAGCAAACAGG
Molecule: ribosomal RNA, 747 nt
Filed under: uncultured Parvimonas sp.
Lineage: Bacteria; Bacillati; Bacillota; Tissierellia; Tissierellales; Peptoniphilaceae
Description: bacterial SSU rRNA
Rfam family: Bacterial small subunit ribosomal RNA
Source: RNAcentral